AAUCUGUGAUAAAAAACCUGCGUGAAGAUAGUGUUAACAACAUGAAGAACAUACGGAAAGAAAACAAACUCUACUCAUACAAAGAGCAGUUGGAAGAAUUAGAGUUACGGA
Molecule: long non-coding RNA, 111 nt
Organism: Limulus polyphemus (Atlantic horseshoe crab)
Lineage: Eukaryota; Metazoa; Arthropoda; Merostomata; Xiphosura; Limulidae
Exons: 3
Source: RefSeq, a predicted model, not a curated record